UAAUACGUAGGGUGCAAGCGUUAAUCGGAAUGACUGGGCGUAAAGGGUGCGCAGGCGGUUUGCUAAGAUAGAGGUGAAAUCCCCUGGCUCAACCAGGGAAUGGCCUAUAUGACUGGCAGGCUCGAGUAUGGCAGAGGGAGGUGGAAUUCCACGUGUAGCAGUGAAAUGCGUAGAGAUGUGGAGGAACACCGAUGGCGAAGGCAGCCUCCUGGGCCAAUACUGACGCUCAGGCACGAAAGCGUGGGGAGCAAACAGGAUUAGAUACCCUGGUAGUCCACGCCCUAAACGAUGUCAACUAGUUGUUGGGGAUAGCUAUCCUUAGUAACGAAGCUAACGCGUGAAGUUGACCGCCUGGGGAGUACGGUCGCAAGAUUA
Molecule: ribosomal RNA, 375 nt
Filed under: uncultured bacterium
Lineage: Bacteria
Description: bacterial SSU rRNA
Rfam family: Bacterial small subunit ribosomal RNA
Source: RNAcentral